RNAcentral lists this ribosomal RNA (292 nucleotides) under uncultured microorganism. Its description in RNAcentral is "partial 16S ribosomal RNA". It matches the Rfam family "Bacterial small subunit ribosomal RNA", at positions 505 to 796 of the family's 1533-position model. The record is from RNAcentral.
GUGCCAGCAGCCGCGGUAAUACGUAGGUGGCAAGCGUUGUCCGGAAUUAUUGGGCGUAAAGCGCGCGCAGGCGGUUUCUUAAGUCUGAUGUGAAAGCCCCCGGCUCAACCGGGGAGGGUCAUUGGAAACUGGGAGACUUGAGUGCAGAAGAGGAGAGUGGAAUUCCAUGUGUAGCGGUGAAAUGCGUAGAUAUAUGGAGGAACACCAGUGGCGAAGGCGACUCUCUGGUCUGUAACUGACGCUGAGGCGCGAAAGCGUGGGGAGCAAACAGGAUUAGAUACCCUGGUAGUCC